AGAGAUAAUGGGGAGACUGUGACGAGUGUCUCUGCCAUGAACGAACAGAGAGGCAAAGUGAUAAUUGGCGAGUCAUCGUUUCGGUCGUCAUUUGUUAAGAUUGGCGAAUCGAUUGUUCCUCGUCUACAU
Neltuma alba is the source of this 129-nucleotide small nucleolar RNA. RefSeq annotates it as small nucleolar RNA snoR111. The transcript has a single exon. Lineage: Eukaryota; Viridiplantae; Streptophyta; Magnoliopsida; Fabales; Fabaceae. The record is from RefSeq and is a predicted model, not a curated record.